CGAUCGAGGCUUGCUUCGGUCGUUAGUGGCGGACGGCUGAGUAACGCGUGGGUGACCUGCCCCGAAGUGGGGAAUAACUGCCCGAAAGGGUGGCUAAUACCGCAUGUGGUGGUGAGUUCAUUCUCACCAGUAAAGCCGCAAGGCGCUUCGGGAGGGGCCUGCGUCCGAUUAGCUCGUUGGUGGGGUAAUGGCUCACCAAGGCGACGAUCGGUAGGUGGUCUGAGAGGACGAUCACCCAGACUGGGACUGAGACACGGCCCAGACUCCUACGGGAGGCAGCAGUCGGGAAUUUUGCGCAAUGGGCGAAAGCCUGACGCAGCAACGCCGCGUGAGGGAUGAAGGCCUUCGGGUUGUAAACCUCUUUUCUCAGGGAAGAUAAUGACGGUACCUGAGGAAUAAGCCACGGCUAACUACGUGCCAGCAGCCGCGGUAAUACGUAGGUGGCAAGCGUUGUCCGGAUUUACUGGGCGUAAAGAGCGCGCAGGCGGUCGAUUAAGUCGAGUGUGAAAGCCCCCGGCUCAACUGGGGAGGGUCACUUGAUACUGGUCGACUCGAAGGCAGGAGAGGGAAGUGGAAUUCCCGGUGUAGUGGUGAAGUGCGUAGAUAUCGGGAGGAACACCAGUGGCGAAGGCGACUUCCUGGCCUGUUCUUGACGCUGAGGCGCGAAAGCUAGGGGAGCAAACGGGAUUAGAUACCCCGGUAGUCCUAGCCGUAAACGAUGGACACUAGGUGUUGGUGGUAUCAACCCCGCCAGUGCCGUAGCUAACGCAUUAAGUGUCCC
Molecule: ribosomal RNA, 781 nt
Filed under: uncultured bacterium
Lineage: Bacteria
Description: bacterial SSU rRNA
Rfam family: Bacterial small subunit ribosomal RNA
Source: RNAcentral